RNAcentral lists this long non-coding RNA (387 nucleotides) under Ananas comosus (pineapple). Its description in RNAcentral is "long non-coding RNA (ACOM_LNC014710)". The record is from RNAcentral. Lineage: Eukaryota; Viridiplantae; Streptophyta; Magnoliopsida; Poales; Bromeliaceae.
AUUUUAUAUGAAGAAAGAAUAUGUUAAACUAUCUAUUAUAAAAUGACUAAUAGUUAAAAUUAAAAGUCGAUUAAUCAUAUUUUGAAUAUUCCAAAGGAUUUCGAAUGUGAAAUUGAUCGUUAAUUAGACUAUAAAUAUGGUGUUGAAGUUUGAUAUUAAAAUCGAAGUAAAAAUAUAUAAAAUUUUUCUGAACUAUGAAUCAGUUUGAAUCAGUUAUUCAAUUUUUCAAACUUUUAUUUUUACCAUCCAACCUUUCUAUAAAUUAAAUUUGAGUCAGCCAAUAAUGUUUUGACUUCAAAAUUUGAAUGUAUCGUUUAGUUUUACAAAUUUAGUUAGUAUACUUGUAAUAACUGAGAUAUUUCAUUUAUUGAUUAAACCCUUUUGUUU